GACGAACGCUGGCGGCGUGCUUAACACAUGCAAGUCGAGCGAUGAAGUUCCUUCGGGAAUGGAUUAGCGGCGGACGGGUGAGUAACACGUGGGUAACCUGCCUCAUAGAGGGGAAUAGCCUUCCGAAAGGAAGAUUAAUACCGCAUAAGAUUGUAGUACCGCAUGGUAUAGCAAUUAAAGGAGCAAUCCGCUAUGAGAUGGACCCGCGUCGCAUUAGCUAGUUGGUGAGGUAACGGCUCACCAAGGCGACGAUGCGUAGCCGACCUGAGAGGGUGAUCGGCCACAUUGGGACUGAGACACGGCCCAGACUCCUACGGGAGGCAGCAGUGGGGAAUAUUGCACAAUGGGGGAAACCCUGAUGCAGCAACGCCGCGUGAGUGAUGACGGUCUUCGGAUUGUAAAACUCUGUCUUCAGGGACGAUAAUGACGGUACCUGAGGAGGAAGCCACGGCUAACUACGUGCCAGCCGCCGCCGUAA
RNAcentral lists this ribosomal RNA (478 nucleotides) under uncultured bacterium. RNAcentral's name for it is "partial 16S ribosomal RNA". It matches the Rfam family "Bacterial small subunit ribosomal RNA", at positions 28 to 523 of the family's 1533-position model. The record is from RNAcentral.